UGGAACACCGACUCCCGUACGUUCACCGGAGUUAAGCAACGUCGAUCCUGGUUAGUACAUAGAUGGGUGACCUCUUGGGAUACCCCAUGCUGUAA
Acanthosepion pharaonis is the source of this 95-nucleotide non-coding RNA. The record is from the annotation of a GenBank genome assembly. NCBI's taxonomy places the organism in Eukaryota, Metazoa, Mollusca, Cephalopoda, Sepiida, Sepiidae.